RNAcentral lists this ribosomal RNA (262 nucleotides) under uncultured archaeon. Its description in RNAcentral is "partial 16S ribosomal RNA". It matches the Rfam family "Archaeal small subunit ribosomal RNA", at positions 717 to 982 of the family's 1478-position model. The record is from RNAcentral.
ACGUCUACAUUAGACUACCCGGUAGUCCCAGCCGUAAACUAUGCGCGUUAGGUGUAUCGGUGACCACGAGUUACCGAGGUGCCGAAGGGAAACCGUGAAACGUGCCGCCUGGGAAGUACGGUCGCAAGGCUGAAACUUAAAGGAAUUGGCGGGGAGCACCACAACAGGUGGAGCCUGCGGUUUAAUUGGACUCAACGCCGGGAAGCUCACCGGAUAGGACAGCAGAAUGAUUGCCGGGCUGAAGACUCUGCAUGACUAGCUG